Molecule: ribosomal RNA, 420 nt
Filed under: uncultured bacterium
Lineage: Bacteria
Description: bacterial SSU rRNA
Rfam family: Bacterial small subunit ribosomal RNA
Source: RNAcentral
UAAGGAAUAUUGCUCAAUGGGAGAAAUCCUGAAGCAGCAACGCCGCGUGGAGGAUGAAGGGUCUAUGACUUGUAAACUCCUGUAAAGAAGGAAAAAAUUCCCAUUAGAUGGGAGAUGAUGGUACUUCUGGAGUAAGCCCCGGCUAACUACGUGCCAGCAGCCGCGGUAAUACGUAGGGGGCAAGCGUUGUCCGGAUUUACUGGGUGUAAAGGGUGCUCAGGCGGAUUUGUAAGUCAGAGGUGAAAUCUUACAGCUUAACUGUGAAACUGCCUUUGAUACUGCAAGCCUAGAGUAUGGAAGAGAGCGAUGGAAUAUCUGGUGUAGCAGUGAAAUGCGUAGAUAUCAGGUAGAACACCAAUGGCGAAGGCAGUCACUUGGUCCAUUACUGACGCUAAAGCACGAAAGCGUGGGUAGCAAACA